AUAUGAGGAGGAGAUAUGAGGAGUAGUUAGGAGGAGAAGAUGGAUCAUAAGGAGAGGAAGGGUUAAUAAAAAUGUCCAUCUCGUUUAGUCUGAUCGUCUAACACCCUGAAACCGGCCAAUCAGCACGCACUCACGCUGUGAUGUCACUGACAGGACCUUCAGCUCCGUCAUCAUAUCAUCUAUUUACUAUUAUGUCUCAUUUAUUUAUUUAUUUAUUUAUUGAUUUUUACAAGUUGAAUAUCAUGCCAGAGGUCAGAUUACAGCCUUCUGAUUGGUGGACUGGAGGUGGGAGGGUACCCGCUGGGCCAGAGGUCAGAUUACAGCCUUCUGAUUGGUGGACUGGAGGUGGGAGGGUACCUGCUGGGCCAGAGGUCAGAUUACAGCCUUCUGAUUGGUGGACUGGAGGUGGGAGGGUACCUGCUGGGCCAGAGGUCAGAUUACAGCCUUCUGAUUGGUGGACUGGAGGUGGGAGGGUACCCGCUGGGCCAGAGGUCAGAUUACAGCCUUCUGAUUGGUGGACUGGAGGUGGGAGUGUACCUGCUGGGCCAGAGGUCAGAUUACAGCCUUCUGAUUGGUGGACUGGAGGUGGGAGGGUACCCGCUGGGCCAGAGGUCAGAUUACAGCCUUCUGAUUGGUGGACUGGAGGUGGGAGGGAGCUGACCCUCCAAUCAGAGUUCAUAUCAGACUCUAAAACCAUAUCAGGACCAGCUGGUCAGUCUUGCUGUGUUUCGGCGUGGAAGCAGCUCAAUCCAAAACCAGUCAGAUGCUAGCUUUAGUAUCCAUGGCAACAGUAUUUGUGUUUGAUGUUUCUUUGGUUGGUUAGUUAGUUAGAAGAGUUAGGAAGGGCUACGUGUUUGUUUUAGUUUACUAUCGUCGUCAUGGAGCUGAGCAUGACAGCCGUUACCAUGACAACUAGACCAUGUGACACACACACACACACACAGACACACACACAGAGACACACACCCUCUCUGUCUCCUCACCUGUCCUGCUCUGCACCAAUCGUCUUCCUUUAGAGUGACAAGCCAAUGAGAUGGUCCCGCUGUAUGAUGUCAUAUGAUACUUGUUUGUGAUUGGUUGAUUUCUCCUGCCUGAAAAUGUCCUGAUGUUUAAUAGACAAUAAAAAAACUAUGAAAUUAAA
Molecule: long non-coding RNA, 1141 nt
Organism: Perca flavescens (yellow perch)
Lineage: Eukaryota; Metazoa; Chordata; Actinopteri; Perciformes; Percidae
Exons: 2
Source: RefSeq, a predicted model, not a curated record